RNAcentral lists this long non-coding RNA (5488 nucleotides) under Sus scrofa (pig). Its description in RNAcentral is "lncRNA (ENSSSCG00065026652.1)". Lineage: Eukaryota; Metazoa; Chordata; Mammalia; Artiodactyla; Suidae. The record is from RNAcentral.
GUUCAAAAUAUUGAUUAAUUUGGGGGGAAACCUAAGAGGUUUGAUGCUGCAUAGCAGAUCUCUAUAUGAAUUCCCCGAAUAAACUGCAGUGGAUCAUAACUAUGUGGAGCAGAAGCCAACACGGCAGAAUAGAGUUUAUUUGAAAGACCAAUUAGAUGAGAAUUUCAGGGUGACCAGAAAGGUGUCACGCUUCUGUAUAACUCUAGGUUAAAAAAUAUGAACAGUGGGGUACCAUGUAGGAGUCUUUCUUCUGCUGGGUCUUUAUCAGCAAUAGGGGUCCCAUUUAACUAGAAAGUAGAUUUAUUCCAGAUGGCUUAUGUAGCACGAAUAAUAUCAAAUGCAAAGAGAUCUUGGAAAUAUUACACUAGGUAUCUUAAAUUUUCAGCGUGACUCUAUCCCAGAAAUAUUCCUGACAUUUUAUAUUUUAGGACUAACGUAGGGAUGCGGUGGUAGUGACUGUUUGGCCAUGAUUUCAGGCGAAUGAUACUUCAGAGAAACCUAUCACAAGGCCAAAAACAAACAAACUCACCAUUACCUCAUAAAUCCAAACCAUGACUUGUUUCACCCAAGGAUAGUUUUAAUAAUAACCCAGUAGCAUGGGGUAGUCAUUUCACUCUUACCUGGCUCGCCUCCUUGUUCAAAUCCAUUUGGAUGGUGCUUUUCAAAAGUAAACAAAAUUAGGAGUUCCCUCUAUGGCACAGUGGUUUAAUGAUCUGGCUUGUCUCUGUAGAGGUACCCGUUCAAUCCCCAGCUUGGUGCAGUGGCUUAAGCAUCUGGUGUUGCCAUAUCUGUGGCAUAGGUCGCAGAUGCAUCUGAGAUUCAGUCCCUGGCCUGGGAAAUUCCAUAUGCUACGAGUGCAGCCAAGAAUGGGGCGGCGAGGGGGGAAGCAAAAUUAUUCUGGUCAAUUCUCAUAUUAAAGUAGCUAGACGCUAAGCAAAUAAUUAUUUAAAUGAUGUGAGAAAAUUCAUUUUAGCCUACCCAAGAUUUCAGUAUCUUCCUUGAAGUCAGAAAUGGCCUUCCUUGCUUCAGCCACAGGGGCUUUUUUUCAGGGCAUUGGGUUGUGAAUGCUGUUAGUCCUAAGGGAAUAGAUAAACCCUGGGGAUGUCAGUGCUGAAAUUCCGUGAAAAAAGAUGCUUGGUUUUAAAAGGGGACGCAUGCAUCCGUUAGGCAUUAUUGAGUCUUGGGAAUUUUGAGGUGUGAGUUUUGCUUCCUGCUAAGGCAUUAGGUGAUUGCCCAGGAUUGAACAGGUGUCAGAGCCAUCAGAACAAGCUGAUAUGGGGAACACUGGUUCCUGAGACCUGGGUUUCAGCUCUGGUGACUCUGACUUUGGACGAGUAUUAAAUGUCAUUAUUUUAGUUCCUCAACAGACCAAGGAGGAUUUUGGACCAUUGGAUAACCUUCAAAGAUAAUUUGUGCAAAUGGCAGAUACGAUUUUACAGCAUCAGUCUGUAUUGACUCUCAUGACAUCUUAAGUCAGUGAGCAGUCACUCUUGGAUAGCAGACACUGUUGUUAACAAUGUGGGUUUGAGGAGUUCCCUGGUGGCCUAGUGGUUAAGGAUUAGGUGUUGUCACUGCUGUGGCUCAGGUUUGAUCCCUGGCCUGGGAAUUUCCGCAUGCAGUGAGUGUGGUCAAAAAAAAAAAAAAAAAAAAAAAAAGGAACAUGGGUUCGAAAGGCAGAUGCUCUGCCACUUGCUAAGGUGUAAUGUUGAGAAGCUGUUCAGCCUGUGUGUUUUAGUCUCCUCAUCUCUGUGACGGAGGAGGAACGUAUCUGUAGAAUGGUGAGCAAUAAGCGAACACCUGCAGGACAAAGUUGGUAAGAACUGACAAUGACAAGGAUCAAUAUGUACUGAAUGCUGACAGUGCGGCAGGCGUUUUCUAAGUGCCGAGGGCACAGACCGGAAGAAGGUGCAUUUGUCUUCAGAUGCUCACAGCCAGGCUGGAGGGAGAAGGAGGCAGGGCUUGUGCAGCCUUGUCAGUGUCACAGUAGGCAUCCUCGCAGUGCAGACCAGGGUCACUUUCCCUGGGAAGGGGCAGCUCCCAAAGAUGCGACUUGACAUCCAGUUUAACUGAAAGGAGUUUAGUUCCGCAGAAAGCCAGUGCUUUGGUGAGUGGGCCUGGCACCUUAUUAGAUGCUGUGGACGCUGCCCUAAAAUUAGAAGCCGGGAGUCUACUAUUAGUGUCUGUGGUGGACUGCAGGACACCCGAGUGUGGCCUUCAGGAGGAGGUACUUGACAGGACAGUGGAGGGAGGGGAGACCAGGAGCAUGAGCACAGGAGGAAGGGCUGGGGUCUCGGCAGAGGAGGGUCUGCAGAGCCAGGCUGGGUGCGAGGCGUGGGAGGUGCUUCAUGCCAUGAGUGGUGUUUGUUAAACUGAGUUUCAGCAAUUCUAGACUAUUCAUGAAAACUUUAACUUUUAAUUUCAUAGUCUGUUUUUCCACCAAACUUAAUACCAUAAAAUUUUUAAUUAAGAAAAAGCGCUUUUUGGUUAUCACACUUGAACGUUUUUCUGCACCUGUGCCUUAGAAAAUGAAAUAAACAAUAUGUAGGAGUUGGCCUGGGUGCAGACGGUUCUCUAAUUCUCAGGUAGAUGAGCUGGUCUUUUGUCUGCCCGGUGCUCUUCCACUGCAUUCUUUAGAGAGGAGUGGGAGCUGGGAAUACCUCGGAAAUGAGCUGGCUAACUUCAGAGGGAGGGCGGUCCCACAGGGUCAGGAGAGGAAUUUUGUUGGUUGAUUUGCUUUUAAUUGAACUCAUAUGUUCAGGGACUGUUCUACUUUCACCAAUCAACAAACUGACUUGGUAGCAGCUGCUUUAGAGGUUAUUUUUAUUACACAAUGUAAAAGUAUUGGCUGGAUAUUGUGUAAUUUGGUACUGAUUUAUACUCACAUUGUCUUUGUAUGCAUAUAUUUAUUUAGUGAUUAUAAGAAAAUGUCUAGGAGUUCUCGUCGUGGCGCAAUGGAAACAAAUCUGACUAGGAACCAUGAGGUUGCGGGAUCCUUAACCCGCUGAGCGAGGUCAGGAAUUGAACCUGCAUCCUCCUGGAUACUAGUCAGGUUCUUAACCCUCUGAGCCACAAUGGGAAUCCAAAUGUUUAUAUUCUUGUAGUACUUUCCUGUCGACAAAAUGGGUGUGUAUGGGACCCGUACAUGUAAGACUGUGGCAGCAAACGGGUCAUUAGAGCAUGAUGUUUCACAUCAAAGCAUCUUCCGUUUCUAAGAUAAUCUCUUGAGAAAGAAAGCAUUUAAAUUCUUGUAGUUAUAACACAUUAGCGUGAUUCUGCUUAGUAAGAACAUUAUUCCUUGAGUUCCUGCUACGGCACAGUGGGUUAAGGGUCCAACUGCAGCAGCUUGGGUCGUUGCAGAGGUGCAGUUCAAUUCCCAGCUUGGAGCAGUGGGUAUUGCCACAGCGGGUGUUGCCACAGCUGCAGCUUGGAUUCAGUCCCUGGCCUAGGACUUCCAUAUGCCGUGGGCACAGCCAUUAAAAAAAAAAAAAAGGAAAAAAAAGAAAGUUAUUCCUAGACUCUUUUAUUUCACUUGUGAUGGUUAUUUACUCUCCACCAAGAGUAGGGUGAGGUGAGUGAGGCAUUUGCCUCAGGUGCAGAGUUUAAGGGCACACAGGAAAGCUCAGUCGUUGAGAUUAAUAACUUCUUUUUUUGGCCAAGGGAGCAGCUUGAUGUGGGAUCUCAGUUUCCAGACCAGGGAUUGAACCCAGGCUACAGCAGUUGAAAGUACCAAGUCCUAGCCACUAGACAUUUUAGUGCAAUACUUUGAAAAAUGGAAUUUGAUAAAAGUAAAAAAAUAAAUCUAUAAUUUAAAAAAAUCAAAUUUUAAAUAAAGAUAGGAUCAGUAGUAGCGAUUUUUCCUUUUGCCUCAGCUUCAGUGUGGCUUGGCUUAGCGCUGUUACUGAUACUAUCUUUAGUUAAAAUUGUAACAUUUUGUUUCUCAUGGUUUUUUGCAUUAAUUUUGAUUUUAUCCCUAUUGCUGAGUGUUUUGGCACUUUCUGAAAAUUCAUACCUGAGGCGAGUGCCUCACUCACCUUGCCUUCCUCCCAAACCUAACUUCCAUCUUAAACGCCUUGAAGACCAGACAAAACACAUGAAACAAUAGUUCUCAGACGCUGGUCAACAGGCAGGUUAGGACUCUGUUCCUUGAAAUAAGGGAAAUGAAAGAAAUGAGCUGUACAGUCACUCCAACUUAAUCUCUAGAGCAGGGAGAAACAGACUUUCUCUAUAAAGGGCCAGAUAGUGAGUGUCUUAGACUUUGCAGACCAUACGGUCUCUGUCAUAGUCAUUCGACUCUGCCAUUGUCUGUGACUACUUUCAUACCAAGUAUGAAAAUGAAUGGCCAUGGGUAUGUUCUAAUAAAACUUUAUUUAUAGAGACAGCAGGUUGGAUUUGGUCCUCAGGUCACAGUUUGCCCAUCCUGGUCUAGAGACAGUUUCCAUGUUACAGGACAGGGAGAGAGAAAAGGUGCUGAGUUAGUUCUGGACUAAAGGACUGCUGCAGACUUGCCCUAACUGAUUCCAGGUAACUCAACUGCAUUCCCAGAACAAAGUCCCUGCUGUAGCUUAAAGGACAUGAUAAAAUCCGGCAUCCAACAAUGUAAAAAAGUUUCGUGUCCAGCAUCUAACAGAAAUUACCAGGACUGCAAAGAAGCAAGAAAAGGUGAUCUUAACCAGGAGGAAAAUCAGUCAAUAGAAACUCAGAAAUAGGAAUUCCUGUCGUGGCUCAAUGGUCACGAACCCAACUGGUAUCCACAAUGACGCAAGUUCCAUCCCUGGCCCUGCUCAGUGGGUUAAGGAUUCAGCGUUGCCGUGAGCUGUGCUGUAGGUCGCAGAUGAAACUCAGGGCUCCCGUUGCUGUGACUGUGGUGUAGGCCAGCAGCCGAAGCUCUGAUUCAACCCGUAGCCUGGGGACUUCCAUAUGCUGCAGCUGUGGCCCUGAAGAGCGAAAACAAACCCUCAGCAAUAACACAGAUAAUGGAAUUAGCAGGCAAGGACACUAAAACAACGAUUAUAAAUAAGUUAUACCCAUUUGUGAGGGAAAUGAGCAUCAUGAGCGAAAGAUAUGGAAAGUCUGAGGUAGGAAAGGUGCAACAGAGAUUUGCAGCACAUCGGCACUACAGACCAGUGAACUUCGAGACAAAGCAAUAGAAACUAUCCAAAAUAUGGUACAAAAAAGAAAGACUGAACAAAACAACAGCGUUUAGUGACCCGUGAGACAAAAUCAGCUGUUUGGAGUUCCCGUGGUGGCUCGGCAGAAACAAAUCUGACUAGGAUCCAUGAGGAUGCAGGUUCAUCCCUGGCCUUGCUCAGUGGGCUGAGGAUCCGGUGUUGCUGUGGGCUGUGGUGUAGGUCACAGAUGCAGCUCAGAUCUGGCGUGGCUGAAGCUUGGCAUAGGCCAGUGGCUGUAGCUCUGAUUCCACUCCUAGCCUGAGAACUACCAUAUGCUACAGGUAUGGCCCUCAAAAGACCAAAAAAAAAAAAAAAAAAAA